GAUGAACGCUGGCGGCGUGCUUAACACAUGCAAGUCGAACGGUGAAGCAGAGCUUGCUCUGUGGAUCAGUGGCGAACGGGUGAGUAACACGUGAGCAGCCUGCCCCCGACUCUGGGAUAAGCGCUGGAAACGGCGUCUAAUACUGGAUAUGAGCUGCGACCGCAUGGUCAGCAGUUGGAAAGAUUUUUCGGUCUGGGAUGGGCUCACGGCCUAUCAGCUUGUUGGUGAGGUAAUGGCUCACCAAGGCGUCGACGGGUAGCCGGCCUGAGAGGGUGACCGGCCACACUGGGACUGAGACACGGCCCAGACUCCUACGGGAGGCAGCAGUGGGGAAUAUUGCACAAUGGGCGAAAGCCUGAUGCAGCAACGCCGCGUGAGGGAUGACGGCCUUCGGGUUGUAAACCUCUUUUAGCAGGGAAGAAGCGAAAGUGACGGUACCUGCAGAAAAAGCGCCGGCUAACUACGUG
Molecule: ribosomal RNA, 467 nt
Filed under: uncultured bacterium
Lineage: Bacteria
Description: partial 16S ribosomal RNA
Rfam family: Bacterial small subunit ribosomal RNA
Source: RNAcentral